UACGUAGGGUGCAAGCGUUGUCCGGAAUUAUUGGGCGUAAAGAGCUUGUAGGCGGUUUGUCGCGCCUGCUGUGAAAUUUCGGGGCUCAACCCCGAACUUGCAGUGGGUACGGGCAGACUAGAGUGUGGUAGGGGAGACUGGAAUUCCUGGUGUAGCGGUGAAAUGCGCAGAUAUCAGGAGGAACACCGAUGGCGAAGGCAGGUCUCUGGGCCAUAACUGACGCUGAGAAGCGAAAGCAUGGGGAGCGAACAGG
This 253-nucleotide ribosomal RNA is filed under the name uncultured bacterium. Its description in RNAcentral is "partial 16S ribosomal RNA". It matches the Rfam family "Bacterial small subunit ribosomal RNA", at positions 524 to 776 of the family's 1533-position model. The record is from RNAcentral.